RNAcentral lists this ribosomal RNA (2758 nucleotides) under Klebsiella pneumoniae. RNAcentral's name for it is "bacterial LSU rRNA". It matches the Rfam family "Bacterial large subunit ribosomal RNA". Lineage: Bacteria; Pseudomonadati; Pseudomonadota; Gammaproteobacteria; Enterobacterales; Enterobacteriaceae. The record is from RNAcentral.
CACUAUCGUUAACUGAAUACAUAGGUUAACGAGGCGAACCGGGGGAACUGAAACAUCUAAGUACCCCGAGGAAAAGAAAUCAACCGAGAUUCCCCCAGUAGCGGCGAGCGAACGGGGAGCAGCCCAGAGUCUGAAUCAGCUUGUGUGUUAGUGGAACGGUCUGGAAAGUCCGACGGUACAGGGUGAUAGUCCCGUACACCAAAAUGCACAGGUUGUGAACUCGAAGAGUAGGGCGGGACACGUGGUAUCCUGUCUGAAUAUGGGGGGACCAUCCUCCAAGGCUAAAUACUCCUGACUGACCGAUAGUGAACCAGUACCGUGAGGGAAAGGCGAAAAGAACCCCGGCGAGGGGAGUGAAAAAGAACCUGAAACCGUGUACGUACAAGCAGUGGGAGCACCUUCGGGUGUGACUGCGUACCUUUUGUAUAAUGGGUCAGCGACUUAUAUUCUGUAGCAAGGUUAACCGUAUAGGGGAGCCGCAGGGAAACCGAGUCUUAACUGGGCGUUAAGUUGCAGGGUAUAGACCCGAAACCCGGUGAUCUAGCCAUGGGCAGGUUGAAGGUUGGGUAACACUAACUGGAGGACCGAACCGACUAAUGUUGAAAAAUUAGCGGAUGACUUGUGGCUGGGGGUGAAAGGCCAAUCAAACCGGGAGAUAGCUGGUUCUCCCCGAAAGCUAUUUAGGUAGCGCCUCGUGAACUCAUCUUCGGGGGUAGAGCACUGUUUCGGCUAGGGGGUCAUCCCGACUUACCAACCCGAUGCAAACUACGAAUACCGAAGAAUGUUAUCACGGGAGACACACGGCGGGUGCUAACGUCCGUCGUGAAGAGGGAAACAACCCAGACCGCCAGCUAAGGUCCCAAAGUCAUGGUUAAGUGGGAAACGAUGUGGGAAGGCACAGACAGCCAGGAUGUUGGCUUAGAAGCAGCCAUCAUUUAAAGAAAGCGUAAUAGCUCACUGGUCGAGUCGGCCUGCGCGGAAGAUGUAACGGGGCUAAACCAUGCACCGAAGCUGCGGCAGCGACACUAUGUGUUGUUGGGUAGGGGAGCGUUCUGUAAGCCUGCGAAGGUGUGCUGUGAGGCAUGCUGGAGGUAUCAGAAGUGCGAAUGCUGACAUAAGUAACGAUAAAGCGGGUGAAAAGCCCGCUCGCCGGAAGACCAAGGGUUCCUGUCCAACGUUAAUCGGGGCAGGGUGAGUCGACCCCUAAGGCGAGGCCGAAAGGCGUAGUCGAUGGGAAACAGGUUAAUAUUCCUGUACUUGGUGUUACUGCGAAGGGGGGACGGAGAAGGCUAUGUUAGCCGGGCGACGGUUGUCCCGGUUUAAGCAUGUAGGCUGAUUGUCCAGGCAAAUCCGGAUAAUCAAGGCUGAGGUGUGAUGACGAGGCACUACGGUGCUGAAGUAACAAAUGCCCUGCUUCCAGGAAAAGCCUCUAAGCAUCAGGUAACAUCAAAUCGUACCCCAAACCGACACAGGUGGUCAGGUAGAGAAUACCAAGGCGCUUGAGAGAACUCGGGUGAAGGAACUAGGCAAAAUGGUGCCGUAACUUCGGGAGAAGGCACGCUGGUGUGUAGGUGAAGUCCCUGCGGAUGGAGCUGAGACCAGUCGAAGAUACCAGCUGGCUGCAACUGUUUAUUAAAAACACAGCACUGUGCAAACACGAAAGUGGACGUAUACGGUGUGACGCCUGCCCGGUGCCGGAAGGUUAAUUGAUGGGGUUAUCCGUAAGGAGAAGCUCUUGAUCGAAGCCCCGGUAAACGGCGGCCGUAACUAUAACGGUCCUAAGGUAGCGAAAUUCCUUGUCGGGUAAGUUCCGACCUGCACGAAUGGCGUAAUGAUGGCCAGGCUGUCUCCACCCGAGACUCAGUGAAAUUGAACUCGCUGUGAAGAUGCAGUGUACCCGCGGCAAGACGGAAAGACCCCGUGAACCUUUACUAUAGCUUGACACUGAACAUUGAGCCUUGAUGUGUAGGAUAGGUGGGAGGCUUUGAAGCGUGGACGCCAGUCUGCGUGGAGCCAACCUUGAAAUACCACCCUUUAAUGUUUGAUGUUCUAACGUUGGCCCCUGACCGGGGUUGCGGACAGUGUCUGGUGGGUAGUUUGACUGGGGCGGUCUCCUCCCAAAGCGUAACGGAGGAGCACGAAGGUUAGCUAAUCCUGGUCGGACAUCAGGAGGUUAGUGCAAUGGCAUAAGCUAGCUUGACUGCGAGCGUGACGGCGCGAGCAGGUGCGAAAGCAGGUCAUAGUGAUCCGGUGGUUCUGAAUGGAAGGGCCAUCGCUCAACGGAUAAAAGGUACUCCGGGGAUAACAGGCUGAUACCGCCCAAGAGUUCAUAUCGACGGCGGUGUUUGGCACCUCGAUGUCGGCUCAUCACAUCCUGGGGCUGAAGUAGGUCCCAAGGGUAUGGCUGUUCGCCAUUUAAAGUGGUACGCGAGCUGGGUUUAGAACGUCGUGAGACAGUUCGGUCCCUAUCUGCCGUGGGCGCUGGAGAAUUGAGGGGGGCUGCUCCUAGUACGAGAGGACCGGAGUGGACGCAUCACUGGUGUUCGGGUUGUCAUGCCAAUGGCACUGCCCGGUAGCUAAAUGCGGAAGAGAUAAGUGCUGAAAGCAUCUAAGCACGAAACUUGCCCCGAGAUGAGUUCUCCCUGAGACUUUAAGUCUCCUGAAGGAACGUUAAAGACGAUGACGUUGAUAGGCCGGGUGUGUAAGCGCAGCGAUGCGUUGAGCUAACCGGUACUAAUGAACCGUGAGGCUUAACCUU